CGAACAAACGCUGGCGGCGUGCCUAACACAUGCAAGUCGUACGAGAAAGUCGGCUUCGGCCGAUGAGUACAGUGGCGCACGGGUGAGUAGCGCGUGGGUAAUCUGCCCCCCGGUCAGGAAUAACCCGCCGAAAGGCGGGCUAAUACCCGAUAACACUGACGCUCCGCGGAGCGUCUUUCAAAGAAGGCCUCUGUUUACAAGCUUUCGCCGGAGGAUGAGCCCGCGUACCAUUAGCUAGUUGGCAGGGUAAUGGCCUACCAAGGCUACGAUGGUUAGCUGGUCUGAGAGGAUGGCCAGCCACACUGGAACUGAGACACGGUCCAGACUCCUACGGGAGGCAGCAGUGAGGAAUAUUGGUCAAUGGACGAGAGUCUGAACCAGCCAAGUCGCGUGAAGGAAGACGGCCCUACGGGUUGUAAACUUCUUUUGUAAGGGAAUAAAUAGUCUUACGCGCUAAGACGUUGCAGGUACCUUACGAAUAAGGAUCGGCUAACUCCGUG
RNAcentral lists this ribosomal RNA (500 nucleotides) under uncultured bacterium. RNAcentral describes it as "bacterial SSU rRNA". It matches the Rfam family "Bacterial small subunit ribosomal RNA", at positions 27 to 507 of the family's 1533-position model. The record is from RNAcentral.